This 780-nucleotide non-coding RNA is filed under the name Sephisa princeps. The record is from RNAcentral. Lineage: Eukaryota; Metazoa; Arthropoda; Insecta; Lepidoptera; Nymphalidae.
AAAUAAAUUUUUUAUAUUUUAUAAAUUUUAUUAUAAAUCUAUUUUACAUAUAAAUUUUAGUGAGAAAUUUUAAUUAUUUUAAUAAUAAUUAAUUAUUUAAAGUAGUAAUUAAUAUUAAAAAUUUAAGAAAUUAAGAUUUAGUAAUAUUAAAAUUAAUAACUAAUUUUGUGCCAGCAGUUGCGGUUAAACAAAGAUUAAAUUAAAUUAUUUCAGUUUAUAAUAAAUAAUUUUAAUUUAAAAUAAAUAUUAAAUUAUUAAGUGAAAUUUUAAUUUAAUUAAAAUUUAUUUUAGAAAAUUAUGAUUUAAUAAAUUUUAUAAUAAACUAGGAUUAGAUACCCUAUUAUUAAAAAAUUAUUUUAUAAUACUAAAAUAGUAAAUAAUUAUUUAUUGAAACUUGAAUAAUAUGGCGGUAUUUUAGUUCAUUUAGAGGAAUCUGUCUAAUAAUUGAUAAUCCACGAGUAAAUUUACUUAAUUAUUAAUAUAUUUUGUAUAUCGUUGUUAAAAAAAUAUUUUUAAAUAAAAAUAAUAUUUUAAAUUUAAAAUAAAAAAUUAAUUCAGAUCAAGAUGCAGGUUAUAAUUAAGAAUAUGAUGGAUUACAUUAAAAAUAUUUAAAUGAAUAAUAUUAUUGUAAUGUGAAUUUGAAGGUGGAUUUAAAUGUAAUUUUAAUUAAUUUAUUAAAAUGAUUAAAAAUUAAAAUAUGUACAUAUUGCCCGUCACUUUCAUUUGAAAAUUGAAAUAAGUCGUAACAAAGUAGAUGUACUGGAAAGUGUAUCUAGAAAU